Molecule: ribosomal RNA, 607 nt
Filed under: uncultured bacterium
Lineage: Bacteria
Description: bacterial SSU rRNA
Rfam family: Bacterial small subunit ribosomal RNA
Source: RNAcentral
AAACUCAAAUGAAUUGACGGGGGCCCGCACAAGCAGUGGAGCAUGUGGUUUAAUUCGAAGCAACGCNAAGAACCUUACCAGGUCUUGACAUCCUCUGACAAGCCUAGAGAUAGGCCGUUCCCCUUCGGGGGACAGAGUGACAGGUGGUGCAUGGUUGUCGUCAGCUCGUGUCGUGAGAUGUUGGGUUAAGUCCCGCAACGAGCGCAACCCUUGAUCUUAGUUGCCAGCAUUCAGUUGGGCACUCUAAGGUGACUGCCGGUGACAAACCGGAGGAAGGUGGGGAUGACGUCAAAUCAUCAUGCCCCUUAUGAUCUGGGCUACACACGUGCUACAAUGGGUGGUACAAAGGGCAGCGAAACCGCGAGGUCGAGCUAAUCCCAUAAAGCCACCCCCAGUUCGGAUUGCAGGCUGCAACUCGCCUGCAUGAAGCCGGAAUUGCUAGUGAUCGCGGAUCAGCAUGCCGCGGUGAAUCCGUUCCCGGGCCUUGUACACACCGCCCGUCACACCACGAGAGUUUGUAACACCCGAAGUCGGUGCGAGAACCUUUAUGGACUCAGCCGCCGAAGGUGGGACAAAUGAUUGGGGUGAAGUCGUAACAAGGUAGCCG